CUGACGAGUCCCAAAUAGGACGAAAUGUGCGUC
RNAcentral lists this non-coding RNA (33 nucleotides) under Schistosoma haematobium. Lineage: Eukaryota; Metazoa; Platyhelminthes; Trematoda; Strigeidida; Schistosomatidae. The record is from RNAcentral.